CCUCUCACUUCGCACUACACGUUGGCAA
RNAcentral lists this small RNA (28 nucleotides) under Bombyx mori (domestic silkworm). RNAcentral's name for it is "ovarian small RNA-4838". Lineage: Eukaryota; Metazoa; Arthropoda; Insecta; Lepidoptera; Bombycidae. The record is from RNAcentral.